Molecule: ribosomal RNA, 361 nt
Filed under: uncultured Teleaulax
Lineage: Eukaryota; Cryptophyceae; Pyrenomonadales; Geminigeraceae
Description: partial 16S ribosomal RNA
Rfam family: Bacterial small subunit ribosomal RNA
Source: RNAcentral
CCGCAACGAGCGUAACCCUNNNNNUUAGUUGCCAUCANUNAGUUGGGCACNUUAAAGAGACUGCCGGUGAUAAACCGGAGGAANGUGAGGACGACGUCAAGUCAGCAUGCCCCUUACGCCCUGGGCUACACACGUACUACAAUGGCCGAGACAAAGAGUCGCAAGUUUGCAAAGACNAAGCUAAUCUCAUAAACUCGGUCUCAGUUCGGAUUGUAGGCUGCAACUCGCCUACAUGAAGUUGGAAUCGCUAGUAAUCGCCGGUCAGCUAUACGGCGGUGAAUCCGUUCCCGGGCCUUGUACACACCGCCCGUCACANCCAUGGAAGCUGUUCAUGCCCAAAGUCGUUACCUUAACCGCAAGG